This 219-nucleotide ribosomal RNA is filed under the name Triticum aestivum (bread wheat). Its description in RNAcentral is "partial small subunit ribosomal RNA". Lineage: Eukaryota; Viridiplantae; Streptophyta; Magnoliopsida; Poales; Poaceae. The record is from RNAcentral.
AUGCUGCUGCGACGCCAGAAGCUGCCGCCGGCGGGGACCAAGCGCAAGAUCCCGGAGCCGCCCGCGUGCCCUCCACUCUGCUCGAUAUGGACGACGAGCCCUCGAGAGAUGGAGGAGAGGGCCGAGAGGUUCCAGGCGUACAUGAGCACCGUACGCGAGAACAUCCGGAAGCUGGGGGAGGCCUUUGCGCAGGAGGACGACGCGGAGCAAGCAGAUUAA